CAGUAGCCGCGGUAAAACAGAGGGUGCGAGCGUUAAUCGGAUUUACUGGGCGUAAAGCGUGCGUAGGCGGCUUUUUAAGUCGGAUGUGAAAUCCCUGAGCUUAACUUAGGAAUUGCAUUCGAUACUGGGAAGCUAGAGUAUGGGAGAGGAUGGUAGAAUUCCAGGUGUAGCGGUGAAAUGCGUAGAGAUCUGGAGGAAUACCGAUGGCGAAGGCAGCCAUCUGGCCUAAUACUGACGCUGAGGUACGAAAGCAUGGGGAGCAAACAGGAUUAGAUACCCCAGUAGUCCCUGUCUCUUAUAC
Molecule: ribosomal RNA, 301 nt
Filed under: uncultured bacterium
Lineage: Bacteria
Description: partial 16S ribosomal RNA
Rfam family: Bacterial small subunit ribosomal RNA
Source: RNAcentral